GAUGAACGCUGGCGGCGUGCCUAAUACAUGCAAGUCGAGCGAACGGACGAGAAGCUUGCUUCUCUGAUGUUAGCGGCGGACGGGUGAGUAACACGUGGAUAACCUACCUAUAAGACUGGGAUAACUUCGGGAAACCGGAGCUAAUACCGGAUAAUAUUUUGAACCGCAUGGUUCAAAAGUAAAAGACGGUCUUGCUGUCACUUAUAGAUGGAUCCGCGCUGCAUUAGCUAGUUGGUAAGGUAACGGCUUACCAAGGCAACGAUGCAUAGCCGACCUGAGAGGGUGAUCGGCCACACUGGAACUGAGACACGGUCCAGACUCCUACGGGAGGCAGCAGUAGGGAAUCUUCCGCAAUGGGUGAAAGCCUGACGGAGCAACGCCGCGUGAGUGAUGAAGGUCUUCGGAUCGUAAAACUCUGUUAUUAGGGAAGAACAUAUGUGUAAGUAACUGUGCACAUCUUGACGGUACCUAAUCAGAAAGCCACGGCUAACUACGUG
Molecule: ribosomal RNA, 497 nt
Filed under: uncultured bacterium
Lineage: Bacteria
Description: partial 16S ribosomal RNA
Rfam family: Bacterial small subunit ribosomal RNA
Source: RNAcentral